AUACGGAGGGUGCAAGCGUUACUCGGAAUCACAGGGCGUAAAGCGCGCGCAGGCGGUUGGAUAAGUUGGAUGUGAAAUCCUAUGGCUCAACCAUAGAACUGCAUCCAAAACUGUCAAACUAGAGUCUGGGAGAGGAAGAUGGAAUUAGUUGUGUAGGGGUAAAAUCCGUAGAGAUAACUAGGAAUACCAAAAGCGAAGGCGAUCUUCUGAAACAGUACUGACGCUGAGGCGCGAAAGCGUGGGGAGCAAACAGGAUUAGAAACCCGAGUAGUCC
Molecule: ribosomal RNA, 274 nt
Filed under: uncultured bacterium
Lineage: Bacteria
Description: partial 16S ribosomal RNA
Rfam family: Bacterial small subunit ribosomal RNA
Source: RNAcentral